GCACUGUCUUUUCCUGCUGCCUUGUAAAGAAGGUGUCUGCUUCCUUUUCACCUUCUGCCAUGAUUGUAAGUUUCCUGAGACCUCCCCAGCCAUGCGAAACUGACCCCACUGAAAAUCGGACUGUUCAACUCACCUGGCAGCCACUUCCAGAGCCCCUGGAACUCUGGCCCAAGGCUCUCUGACUGACACCUUCCCAGAUCUUCUAGGCUUAGCAGCUGAAGACUGACACUGCCCGAUUGCCUCGGAAGCCUGCAGGACCAUCACAGAUGCUCUGGGUAACUCUCACAGUGGAGGGACCUGGACUAGAGUGAGACCACGUAGGUGCCUAUGGCACAGAAUAUAAGUGAGAUCCAUGUACACAGAUCCACUUACUCAGAGAUGUGUCCAAGGAACCUUAUUUGCCUCACCCUAAUCCUGACCCUUCUCUGGAAUCUGUUCUCAGCCUGCGAUUUGUUUUAACAAAUAGAAUGUGUUGGAAGUGACGCUGUGCUAGUUCUGGGUCUAAGUCUUAUGAAUGCCUGGAAGCCACUAUUUUGUGCUCUUGGGAAUCUUCAGUCUUCUAAGAAGUCCAGUCAUACUACUGUUGAGAGCACAUGGAGAUACAGAGUGGACACUUCAUGUGGAAUGGGAGAAGCUCUGAGACUACAGGAGCAGAGGAAGAUGCCCAGCCUUACUGGCAUCCCAGCGCCCAGACGACCUGCCAGCUGAAUGCAGUCAUAGGAGUGAUCACUGGCAAGACCAGCUGAGCCCAGCUCACAAACUAGAAUCGUGGGCAAAUUAAAUGGUUGUUGUUUAAAGCCA
This 801-nucleotide long non-coding RNA is filed under the name Homo sapiens (human). Its description in RNAcentral is "HSALNT0382810". Lineage: Eukaryota; Metazoa; Chordata; Mammalia; Primates; Hominidae. The record is from RNAcentral.